This 380-nucleotide ribosomal RNA is filed under the name uncultured eukaryote. RNAcentral's name for it is "partial 18S ribosomal RNA". It matches the Rfam family "Eukaryotic small subunit ribosomal RNA", at positions 592 to 976 of the family's 1831-position model. The record is from RNAcentral.
CAAUAGCGUAUAUUAAAGUUGUUGCGGUUAAAAAGCUCGUAGUUGGAUUUCUGCUGAGAACGACCGGUCCGCCCUCUGGGUGUGUAUCUGGCUCUUUCUUGGCAUCUUCUUGGUGAACGUUGCUGCACUUGACUGUGUGGAGCGCUACCCAGGACUUUUACUUUGAGGAAAUUAGAGUGUUUCAAGCAGGCAUACGCCUUGAAUACAUUAGCAUGGAAUAAUAAGAUAGGACCUCGGUUCUAUUUUGUUGGUUUCUAGAGCUGAGGUAAUGAUUAAUAGGGAUAGUUGGGGGCAUUCGUAUUUAACUGUCAGAGGUGAAAUUCUUGGAUUUGUUAAAGACGGACUACUGCGAAAACAUUUGCCAAGGAUGUUUUCAUUGA